AUUGAACGCUGGCGGCAUGCCUUACACAUGCAAGUCGAACGGCAGCACGGGUGCUUGCACCUGGUGGCGAGUGGCGAACGGGUGAGUAAUACAUCGGAACAUGUCCUGUAGUGGGGGAUAGCCCGGCGAAAGCCGGAUUAAUACCGCAUACGAUCUACGGAUGAAAGCGGGGGACCUUCGGGCCUCGCGCUAUAGGGUUGGCCGAUGGCUGAUUAGCUAGUUGGUGGGGUAAAGGCCUACCAAGGCGACGAUCAGUAGCUGGUCUGAGAGGACGACCAGCCACACUGGAACUGAGACACGGCCCAGACUCCUACGGGAGGCAGCAGUGGGGAAUUUUGGACAAUGGGCGAAAGCCUGAUCCAGCAAUGCCGCGUGUGUGAAGAAGGCCUUCGGGUUGUAAAGCACUUUUGUCCGGAAAGAAAUGCUUGGCCCUAAUACGGUCGGGGGAUGACGGUACCGGAAGAAUAAGCACCGGCUAACUACGUG
This 486-nucleotide ribosomal RNA is filed under the name uncultured bacterium. Its description in RNAcentral is "partial 16S ribosomal RNA". It matches the Rfam family "Bacterial small subunit ribosomal RNA", at positions 30 to 507 of the family's 1533-position model. The record is from RNAcentral.